This is a small nuclear RNA of Equus asinus (donkey), 110 nucleotides long. The record is from Ensembl. NCBI's taxonomy places the organism in Eukaryota, Metazoa, Chordata, Mammalia, Perissodactyla, Equidae.
GUGCUCGCUUCGGCAGCACAUGUACUAAAACUGGAACGAGACAGAGAAGAUUAGCAGGCCCCUGCACAAGGAUGACACGCAAAUUCAAAUUCGUGGUGUUCCAUAUUUUU